GAUGAAGAACGUAGCGAAAUGCGAUACUUGGUGUGAAUUGCAGAAUCCCGUGAACCAUCGAGUCUUUGAACGCAAGUUGCGCCCGAAGCCACUAGGCCGAGGGCACGCCUGCCUGGGCGUCACACGCCGUUGCCCCCCCAUCUACUCCUUCGGGAUUGCGGGGGGCGGAUGAUGGCCUCCCGUGCGCCUAGCCGCGCGGUUGGCAUAAAUACCAAGUCCUCGGCGACGCACGCCACGACAAUCGGUGGUUGCGAAACCUCGGUUGCCCGUCGUGUGCGUUCGUCGCGCAUCGAGGGCUCGAAAAAAUGCUCGGCUCCGGCUCGGCUUUCAACGCGACCCCAGGUCAGGCGGGGUUACCCGCUGAAUUUAAGCAUAUCAAUAAGCGGAGGA
Molecule: unclassified non-coding RNA, 390 nt
Filed under: soil metagenome
Description: partial contains 5.8S ribosomal RNA, internal transcribed spacer 2, and large subunit ribosomal RNA
Rfam family: 5.8S ribosomal RNA (bases 1-122)
Source: RNAcentral